AAUUUUGGGGUAAAUCCACCCGGAAUUGGCUCAUCCCGGAACGGAGCCGGAGCUGGAUUUGGCAGAUGGGAAUGUUGGGAAUACUGGGAAUGCUCCCCAGUGCUGGGGAUACUGGGAAUACUGGGAAGCCCCAGGAAUGCUCCAGAACAUCAGGAAUGCUCCGGAAUGCUGGGAUUGCUCCCCGAGACUGGGAAUACUGGGAAUGCUCCCCAACAUCGGGAACCCCAGGAACGCUCCAGAACACCAGGCAUACUGGGAAUGCUCCCCACUACUGGGAACACUGGGAACGAUUCCCAACGAGGACAUCGGAUACUGGGAAAGCUCUCCCCAAAUGCUUGGAAUACUGGGAACACUGGGAAUGCUCCAGAACAUCGGACACUGGGAAAGCUCUCCCCAAAUGCUGGGAAUACUGGGAACACUGGGAACAAUCCAGAACAUCGGAUACUGGGAAAGCUCUCCCGGAAUACUGGGAACGCUGGGAAUGCUUCCCAAGGCCUUGGGAAUACUGGGAAUGCUGGGAAUGAUCCAGAACAUCGGAUACUGGGAAAGCUCUCCCCAAACGCUGGGAAUACUGGGAACAUUGGGAAUGCUUCCCAAGGUCUUGGGAAUACCAGGAACGAUCCAGAACAUCGGAUGCUGGGAAUACUGGGAAUGAUCCCCACCACUGGGAAGGCUUCCCAGUGCCAGGAAUACCGGGGAAUGCUCCGGAAUGCUGGGAAUACUCCCCAGUACUGGGAAUACUGGGAAUGCUCCCCAGUGGCAGGAACAUCAGGAAUACUGGGGGUGGGAUCUAGCACCGCCCCUGCCCCAUGGAUGGGGGAUCAACCCCACACCAGCCCCAUAG
Molecule: long non-coding RNA, 844 nt
Filed under: Calidris pugnax (ruff)
Lineage: Eukaryota; Metazoa; Chordata; Aves; Charadriiformes; Scolopacidae
Description: lncRNA (ENSCPUG00000000678.1)
Source: RNAcentral